Molecule: signal recognition particle RNA, 98 nt
Filed under: Oscillospiraceae bacterium
Lineage: Bacteria; Bacillati; Bacillota; Clostridia; Eubacteriales; Oscillospiraceae
Description: signal recognition particle sRNA small type
Rfam family: Bacterial small signal recognition particle RNA
About the family: The signal recognition particle (SRP) is a universally conserved ribonucleoprotein involved in the co-translational targeting of proteins to membranes. Archaeal SRP consists of a 7S RNA and homologues of the eukaryotic SRP19 and SRP54 proteins. In most bacteria, the SRP consists of a 4.5S RNA and the Ffh protein (a homologue of the eukaryotic SRP54 protein).
Source: RNAcentral
GACCGGCGUCGUGCGGAAUCAGCGCGUGAAUCGUGUCAGGUCCGGAAGGAAGCAGCAGUAAGCGAUUGUUGAUUAGCGCUGCGGCAUCACCGGUUGCG